AAGUGGGUAGGGUUUCCACAUGUUUAAGAGAAAAUUAGAUAUUUCAAACGAGUGGCUUGACAGAAAGUUGCGGCUUCGAGAGGGAAUUGUUGAAGUGCUUCAGACUUUCAUCAUUCGAAAGCGCUCCGGAAAGGAAAGGUGUUGGCUUGAAGGUUUGUGGCUCUUGUUCGGCUUCGAGAGUUAUUUUCUGGUGAUGUUCGGAGUCUCACGACCGUUUCGAGGCAUUCGUCAAAGGCGUUUGGGUGAGCUAUUUGAGAUCUUGCAACCCAGAAUCUCUCCUUAGAUUUCUGUUGUUCUCUAUCCUUAAACAGAAGUCGUAUCCAGUUUGAAUCUGUUAUCUACUUCAAAUUGUAAACUUCUUAGAAGCUCUUCUACGAGUCUAGACCAGGUUUUGGGAAUUUCUUAUAAUAAAAGUAUUUCUUCCGCAUUGGUUUAAUAUCUAAACUGCUAGAGUGUGUUUACAUGUUAUUCCGCACGUUGUAUCAAAUUAAGGUAGUUACCUGAAGGGUUCGCCCACCAGGGAGGGUUAGUGUGGGUGCCUGCAUGAUCCAUGAUUUGGGUCGUGACAACCAUCAUCAGCGAGUCCUAAAAGAAAGAGAAGCUCUAAAGGUGCUGUGAGCGCAUCUAGCAUUCGGGGAUUAAAUGAUCUCCCCGAAGACGAUACUUGGGUCGCGAGAGUUAGCUUGGACCCCGCUAUUGCCGCUUCUAAUGCGGAAGGAACCACUCCGAUGGAGGUCUCGGAGGAAAACAUCACUGCCGAUUUGGUCGGUCUCGCCCACCUAGCCAUUCCACAAGUAUCGAGAAGUACUACUCGGAUCACAAAAUCUGGUUCGAGAUCCCGUCUUAUAGACGUCUUCCUGGCCCCAACCAUAGACCGGAGAAAGACUAGGUCGGCAACCAUCAUUGUACCCAAAGAUUGCGGCUUUUUAUCCUGUCCUAUAGGGGUAGCCAGCUAUUUUCGUCCUCUUGUGUCGGAAUCCGAUAAAGAAAAGAUGGUAGGGCUCUUGUGGCAAUAUCUUCUUAACGAGAGCGUGCAUGCUUCCAAUCGGGUAAAUAUUCUUCCCUUACAAAGAGUUUGAUUUAUUUAGAGUAAUCUUCAGCAUUUAUUGAUUCCUAACUUUAUUUUCUCCUUCACAGGCUGUCGUGCUCAAGAAUGAUGGUUUGUUUCGAGCCCAAUGAGAGAUGGAUGACCUACGGGCCCAAUUGGAUGACUAGAGUAGGGAAACAGAGAAGUUCAAACUUCUUUUUCAGUAGAAGGAAGAACAGCUGAGCUAGAUUGUCGAUCCUUCGACCCUCCGAGCUGACCUUCGAGAGGCCAAGGAGGAGAACCACCGGUUGAAAAAUGACUUUGCAGACGUAACUGAGAAGAAUAACGCCUUGGAGGAGGAAAAAAGGCAGCUCACCCGUGAGAACUCUACUAACAUUAUUAAGUUCGGGGAGCUAGAGGCCACCAUUGCCCAAUUGAGGCGGCAUCUAGAUUCUAUUAAAGGCGAGGUCGAAAACAUGAAGGAGCAGUUCACUCAGCUCGAGUGUAAAAGGCCAUCGAGAGGGAAACCUUUAAGGAUAUUCCCAAAGAAUCCGGUUCUGGAGACUCGAACUCUGCUUCGAGGACUAGAUAGGCUUAGGGAGCCUUGGUAUUUUCUUUUGAUUUUUGCAAAUCAAGUUCGAGUCUUCGGCCUUUUAUGCUAUAAAAUUUAUUUUUGGCUUUCUUUUGUCUGCGCUCCUUCUAUUAUUUUCAAUACUUAUCCAUAUGACACUUAAGAACAGAUCCUUGAAUCAUAUAAUGUUUGUGACAUUAUUUUUUUCGAAAAUGAAUUAUACCUGCCUUUAGUCCUUAUCGAUUUUCAUCUUAUCAGACGAGUAAUUAAUAACUUCAUUUUUAACGAAAAAUUGAGCCAACUUAACUUAGAAGUUUUAGACUCUAUUUAUACCGGUUCUUUUUCAUCCGAUAUCUUUUAAUCAGGGCUCAUAUGUGGGAGCCUUUUUAUGCUUAUGAAUUCGGACAUCUCCGAUCACUUUGGGCACAUGGGUCAAUGUCUUAAUUACUCAACCCUUUUUCGAUUGUUUGAAGUCUUUGAAAAUUAGGCCCGGUUUAUUAUUACCUUGGUGUCUUCGUCUGUUUUGUGAUGGCAGUCCCAGUCACUGGUAGCUCAUGGACGUUAAAGAUCCGCUAUUCAGGUAUUUCCAUAAGAGCAUAACAUACAUAUUUUUCCCGAGAUACUCUUCUUAUUUCAAAUAAUUAUUUCAUACAGAAAGCUAAGAAUGUUAUAUCCAACA
Long non-coding RNA from Lycium barbarum (goji berry), 2277 nucleotides. RefSeq lists it as uncharacterized. NCBI's taxonomy places the organism in Eukaryota, Viridiplantae, Streptophyta, Magnoliopsida, Solanales, Solanaceae. The transcript has 3 exons. The record is from RefSeq and is a predicted model, not a curated record.